This 202-nucleotide long non-coding RNA is filed under the name Elaeis guineensis (African oil palm). Its description in RNAcentral is "long non-coding RNA (EGUI_LNC060729)". The record is from RNAcentral. Lineage: Eukaryota; Viridiplantae; Streptophyta; Magnoliopsida; Arecales; Arecaceae.
CUCAUAGUUAUCAGAGUUCCUAAUCUGCAUCAUGAGAGUCCGUUAGGAUUUAUGAAUUAUCAUAUCAUCUGUUGCUUCGAUCCACUCAUACAUACACAACACUGCUACUUCCACGCAUACGUGUGUUGGCCAAGGUCAAUCUAGUAUCAGAGCCAUCUUUCAUGUCGGAGAGAAAGUCUAUCGAUUUUUAGACGUAUAAAGC